AGUGAACGCUGGCGGUAGGCCUAACACAUGCAAGUCGAACGGCAGCACAGUAAGAGCUUGCUCUUACGGGUGGCGAGUGGCGGACGGGUGAGGAAUACAUCGGAAUCUACUUUUUCGUGGGGGAUAACGUAGGGAAACUUACGCUAAUACCGCAUACGACCUACGGGUGAAAGCAGGGGAUCUUCGGACCUUGCGCGAUUGAAUGAGGCGAUGUCGGAUUAGCUAGUUGGCGGGGUAAAGGCCCACCAAGGCGACGAUCCGUAGCUGGUCUGAGAGGAUGAUCAGCCACACUGGAACUGAGACACGGUCCAGACUCCUACGGGAGGCAGCAGUGGGGAAUAUUGGACAAUGGGCGCAAGCCUGAUCCAGCCAUACUGCGUGGGUGAAGAAGGCCUUCGGGUUGUAAAGCCCUUUUGUUGGGAAAGAAAAGCAGCAGGUUAAUACCCCGCUGUUCUGACGGUACCCAAAGAAUAAGCACCGGCUAACUUCGUG
Molecule: ribosomal RNA, 492 nt
Filed under: uncultured bacterium
Lineage: Bacteria
Description: partial 16S ribosomal RNA
Rfam family: Bacterial small subunit ribosomal RNA
Source: RNAcentral